UAGUCACACCUCUGUGGUCCCUCAAGUC
This 28-nucleotide non-coding RNA is filed under the name Rattus norvegicus (Norway rat). The record is from RNAcentral. Lineage: Eukaryota; Metazoa; Chordata; Mammalia; Rodentia; Muridae.